GGGUUGUGAGGUUAAGCGACUAAGCGUACACGGUGGAUGCCCUGGCAGUCAGAGGCGAUGAAGGACGUGCUAAUCUGCGAUAAGCGUCGGUAAGGUGAUAUGAACCGUUAUAACCGGCGAUUUCCGAAUGGGGAAACCCAGUGUGAUUCGUCACACUAUCAUUAACUGAAUCCAUAGGUUAAUGAGGCGAACCGGGGGAACUGAAACAUCUAAGUACCCCGAGGAAAAGAAAUCAACCGAGAUUCCCCCAGUAGCGGCGAGCGAACGGGGAGCAGCCCAGAGCCUGAAUCAGUGUGUGUGUUAGUGGAAGCGUCUGGAAAGGCGCGCGAUACAGGGUGACAGCCCCGUACACAAAAAUGCACAUACUGUGAGCUCGAUGAGUAGGGCGGGACACGUGGUAUCCUGUCUGAAUAUGGGGGGACCAUCCUCCAAGGCUAAAUACUCCUGACUGACCGAUAGUGAACCAGUACCGUGAGGGAAAGGCGAAAAGAACCCCGGCGAGGGGAGUGAAAAAGAACCUGAAACCGUGUACGUACAAGCAGUGGGAGCACAGAGCAAUCUGUGUGACUGCGUACCUUUUGUAUAAUGGGUCAGCGACUUAUAUUCUGUAGCAAGGUUAACCGAAUAGGGGAGCCGAAGGGAAACCGAGUCUUAACUGGGCGUUAAGUUGCAGGGUAUAGACCCGAAACCCGGUGAUCUAGCCAUGGGCAGGUUGAAGGUUGGGUAACACUAACUGGAGGACCGAACCGACUAAUGUUGAAAAAUUAGCGGAUGACUUGUGGCUGGGGGUGAAAGGCCAAUCAAACCGGGAGAUAGCUGGUUCUCCCCGAAAGCUAUUUAGGUAGCGCCUCGUGAAUUCAUCUCCGGGGGUAGAGCACUGUUUCGGCAAGGGGGUCAUCCCGACUUACCAACCCGAUGCAAACUGCGAAUACCGGAGAAUGUUAUCACGGGAGACACACGGCGGGUGCUAACGUCCGUCGUGAAGAGGGAAACAACCCAGACCGCCAGCUAAGGUCCCAAAGUCAUGGUUAAGUGGGAAACGAUGUGGGAAGGCCCAGACAGCCAGGAUGUUGGCUUAGAAGCAGCCAUCAUUUAAAGAAAGCGUAAUAGCUCACUGGUCGAGUCGGCCUGCGCGGAAGAUGUAACGGGGCUAAACCAUGCACCGAAGCUGCGGCAGCGACGCUUAUGCGUUGUUGGGUAGGGGAGCGUUCUGUAAGCCUGUGAAGGUGUGCUGUGAGGCAUGCUGGAGGUAUCAGAAGUGCGAAUGCUGACAUAAGUAACGAUAAAGCGGGUGAAAAGCCCGCUCGCCGGAAGACCAAGGGUUCCUGUCCAACGUUAAUCGGGGCAGGGUGAGUCGACCCCUAAGGCGAGGCCGAAAGGCGUAGUCGAUGGGAAACAGGUUAAUAUUCCUGUACUUGGUGUUACUGCGAAGGGGGGACGGAGAAGGCUAUGUUGGCCGGGCGACGGUUGUCCCGGUUUAAGCGUGUAGGCUGGUUUUCCAGGCAAAUCCGGAAAAUCAAGGCUGAGGCGUGAUGACGAGGCACUACGGUGCUGAAGCAACAAAUGCCCUGCUUCCAGGAAAAGCCUCUAAGCAUCAGGUAACAUCAAAUCGUACCCCAAACCGACACAGGUGGUCAGGUAGAGAAUACCAAGGCGCUUGAGAGAACUCGGGUGAAGGAACUAGGCAAAAUGGUGCCGUAACUUCGGGAGAAGGCACGCUGAUAUGUAGGUGAAGUCCCUCGCGGAUGGAGCUGAAAUCAGUCGAAGAUACCAGCUGGCUGCAACUGUUUAUUAAAAACACAGCACUGUGCAAACACGAAAGUGGACGUAUACGGUGUGACGCCUGCCCGGUGCCGGAAGGUUAAUUGAUGGGGUCAGCGCAAGCGAAGCUCUUGAUCGAAGCCCCGGUAAACGGCGGCCGUAACUAUAACGGUCCUAAGGUAGCGAAAUUCCUUGUCGGGUAAGUUCCGACCUGCACGAAUGGCGUAAUGAUGGCCAGGCUGUCUCCACCCGAGACUCAGUGAAAUUGAACUCGCUGUGAAGAUGCAGUGUACCCGCGGCAAGACGGAAAGACCCCGUGAACCUUUACUAUAGCUUGACACUGAACAUUGAGCCUUGAUGUGUAGGAUAGGUGGGAGGCUUAGAAGUGUGGACGCCAGUCUGCAUGGAGCCGACCUUGAAAUACCACCCUUUAAUGUUUGAUGUUCUAACGUUGACCCGUAAUCCGGGUUGCGGACAGUGUCUGGUGGGUAGUUUGACUGGGGCGGUCUCCUCCUAAAGAGUAACGGAGGAGCACGAAGGUUGGCUAAUCCUGGUCGGACAUCAGGAGGUUAGUGCAAUGGCAUAAGCCAGCUUGACUGCGAGCGUGACGGCGCGAGCAGGUGCGAAAGCAGGUCAUAGUGAUCCGGUGGUUCUGAAUGGAAGGGCCAUCGCUCAACGGAUAAAAGGUACUCCGGGGAUAACAGGCUGAUACCGCCCAAGAGUUCAUAUCGACGGCGGUGUUUGGCACCUCGAUGUCGGCUCAUCACAUCCUGGGGCUGAAGUAGGUCCCAAGGGUAUGGCUGUUCGCCAUUUAAAGUGGUACGCGAGCUGGGUUUAGAACGUCGUGAGACAGUUCGGUCCCUAUCUGCCGUGGGCGCUGGAGAACUGAGGGGGGCUGCUCCUAGUACGAGAGGACCGGAGUGGACGCAUCACUGGUGUUCGGGUUGUCAUGCCAAUGGCACUGCCCGGUAGCUAAAUGCGGAAGAGAUAAGUGCUGAAAGCAUCUAAGCACGAAACUUGCCCCGAGAUGAGUUCUCCCUGACUCCUUGAGAGUCCUGAAGGAACGUUGAAGACGACGACGUUGAUAGGCCGGGUGUGUAAGCGCAGCGAUGCGUUGAGCUAACCGGUACUAAUGAACCGUGAGGCUUAACCUUACAACGCCGAAGGUGUUU
Molecule: ribosomal RNA, 2933 nt
Filed under: Shigella sonnei
Lineage: Bacteria; Pseudomonadati; Pseudomonadota; Gammaproteobacteria; Enterobacterales; Enterobacteriaceae
Description: bacterial LSU rRNA
Rfam family: Bacterial large subunit ribosomal RNA
Source: RNAcentral